CCUACGGGAGGCAGCAGUGGGGAAUAUUGGACAAUGGGGGGAACCCUGAUCCAGCCAUGCCGCGUGUGUGAAGAAGGCCCUCGGGUUGUAAAGCACUUUCAGUGAGGAAGAACGCCUGGUGGUUAAUACCCAUCAGGAAAGACAUCACUCACAGAAGAAGCACCGGCUAACUCCGUGCCAGCAGCCGCGGUAAUACGGAGGGUGCGAGCGUUAAUCGGAAUUACUGGGCGUAAAGCGCGCGUAGGUGGCUUGAUAAGCCGGUUGUGAAAGCCCCGGGCUCAACCUGGGAACGGCAUCCGGAACUGUCAAGCUAGAGUGCAGGAGAGGAAGGUAGAAGUCCCGGUGUAGCGGUGAAAUGCGUAGAGAUCGGGAGGAAUACCAGUGGCGAAGGCGGCCUUCUGGACUGACACUGACACUGAGGUGCGAAAGCGUGGGUAGCAAACAGGAUUAGAUACCCUUGUAGUC
This 465-nucleotide ribosomal RNA is filed under the name Vreelandella stevensii. RNAcentral describes it as "partial 16S ribosomal RNA". It matches the Rfam family "Bacterial small subunit ribosomal RNA", at positions 338 to 795 of the family's 1533-position model. Lineage: Bacteria; Pseudomonadati; Pseudomonadota; Gammaproteobacteria; Oceanospirillales; Halomonadaceae. The record is from RNAcentral.